UAAGGCUUUAGCUUAAUUAAAGUGUCUGAGUUGCAUUCAGAAGAUGUUGGAUAGAGUCCUGCAAGUUUUAU
RNAcentral lists this transfer RNA (71 nucleotides) under Pterocryptis anomala. Its description in RNAcentral is "tRNA-Ala". It matches the Rfam family "tRNA". From Rfam's summary of the family: Transfer RNA (tRNA) molecules are approximately 80 nucleotides in length. Their secondary structure includes four short double-helical elements and three loops (D, anti-codon, and T loops). Lineage: Eukaryota; Metazoa; Chordata; Actinopteri; Siluriformes; Siluridae. The record is from RNAcentral.